UCAUCAAAUUGGCAGUGAUCUG
RNAcentral lists this microRNA (22 nucleotides) under Parasteatoda tepidariorum (common house spider). Its description in RNAcentral is "pte-miR-2c-5p". Its record names the gene pte-miR-2c-5p. The record is from miRBase by way of RNAcentral. Lineage: Eukaryota; Metazoa; Arthropoda; Arachnida; Araneae; Theridiidae.